This 496-nucleotide ribosomal RNA is filed under the name uncultured bacterium. RNAcentral describes it as "partial 16S ribosomal RNA". It matches the Rfam family "Bacterial small subunit ribosomal RNA", at positions 29 to 507 of the family's 1533-position model. The record is from RNAcentral.
AUGAACGCUGGCGGCGUGCCUAAUACAUGCAAGUCGAGCGAACAGACGAGGAGCUUGCUCCUCUGACGUUAGCGGCGGACGGGUGAGUAACACGUGGAUAACCUACCUAUAAGACUGGGAUAACUCCGGGAAACCGGAGCUAAUACCGGAUAAUAUAUUGAACCGCAUGGUUCAAUAGUGAAAGACGGUUUUGCUGUCACUUAUAGAUGGAUCCGCGCCGCAUUAGCUAGUUGGUAAGGUAACGGCUUACCAAGGCGACGAUGCGUAGCCGACCUGAGAGGGUGAUCGGCCACACUGGAACUGAGACACGGUCCAGACUCCUACGGGAGGCAGCAGUAGGGAAUCUUCCGCAAUGGGCGAAAGCCUGACGGAGCAACGCCGCGUGAGUGAUGAAGGUCUUCGGAUCGUAAAACUCUGUUAUUAGGGAAGAACAAAUGUGUAAGUAACUAUGCACGUCUUGACGGUACCUAAUCAGAAAGCCACGGCUAACUACGUG